This 536-nucleotide long non-coding RNA is filed under the name Coturnix japonica (Japanese quail). Its description in RNAcentral is "lncRNA (ENSCJPG00005015533.1)". Lineage: Eukaryota; Metazoa; Chordata; Aves; Galliformes; Phasianidae. The record is from RNAcentral.
GGGGGGGGGGGAAACAAUACUAAAUAUUAACCAACCAAAAAACACUUCCUCUGCUCUUUCCAGUAUUUUACUUCUUUAAAGAGGAAGAAGUGUAAAAUGGAACAGAAAGUGUAAAACGGAACAGAAAAUUCUCUCAAAGAUUCCUGUCUUGAUUACAGACUGUUUCCCUGGGGAUGAGAAUGAGUGUACUUUGCAUCUAAAUCCAGUUUCCCAAUUGGAAAACGGUGGAAAUUGAAGGUGGAAAUUGAAGAGCAGAAAGAACUUAAAGCUAGUACUAAAUUCUGGGUACCAGGACUGAAAAGAGUGAGAGAUGCUUCACCAGCUGGACAGUACAGAAUAUAUCCAUUAUGCUACUCAUGUGCUUUUCAGUGCAACUUAGGCACAACCAGAUUUUUAGACACUAGUAACCUAAUGGUAUAGCCAACACUCAACUGAACAGUAUCCAGUAAAUAAGCAGACCUAUUUCAGAAAUGGUGGAAAAUAUAUGCAAAGCUUAAUACAGGCUGGAUCUAGAGUUUGGAUUUGUUGCCUAAGGG